Long non-coding RNA from Poecilia latipinna (sailfin molly), 5191 nucleotides. RefSeq lists it as uncharacterized. The transcript has 3 exons. The record is from RefSeq and is a predicted model, not a curated record. NCBI's taxonomy places the organism in Eukaryota, Metazoa, Chordata, Actinopteri, Cyprinodontiformes, Poeciliidae.
UGGGAGAAGCAGUGGGGCACAUUGAGAGCAUGUCAUUACAAAGACGUUUUGACGCUUCCAGUUCAAAGUGGAGAUGGGGAAUUUCUGCAGCAUCCAUGUCAGCUUGAAAUCACAGGGGUCUGUUCGGGCAUGCAGCUGGCAGUGGGAGAGUUCGCGCACAACAUUGUUAGAUUGGGAAGAUGCCAAAUCCACUGAACUUAACCCAGAAACCAAACACCCUGUGGUAUGCUGUCUUCUUUUUCACACUGUGCUCAUAUUACAUUAUGUCAGCAGGGAAGGCUUGGCGUUCUAUUUGAUCUUGACAGGUGAAUGACAUGCCAGAGCACAGCCUGGGAUAAAUGGGAGGGAGUGUGAGAUUUGGAAAGAGGGCAACCAUUUCAAAUCCAACUGUGUAGCUAAGUUUAGUUUAUUUAAGGAUCCCCAUUAGUUGCUACCACAGCAGAGUUAUUCAUGUGGUCUACACUACAAGCAUUACAGAAAAAUUCCGAUAUUACAGACAUUAAAAAAACACCACAGAAAAGCCUACAACGCACAAAUGCAAGUCAAAAGUAUAAAUCAAUAAGUAUAUUUUCAAAGAAUGUUAAAACGAAUAAUAACAGUCUACACUACGUGAAAUCAACUCAAAUUGAAUUCAAUAUUAUUUCAUAAUUGCAUUAUAGAUUUUUAAGAUUGUUUUUAAACCUUUCAUGAUCACCAAUCAAUGUAAUUUCAGAAUCCAACAUGUUCAUUCAUAGUGAUUUAUUGUUGUUGGAGGAAAACUAUAAAGUGAUGAAGAAUUUGUUGAAGAGAGACAGACACAGACUUCAGUUAAACACUAAAACAUGUCUCUAAAGGUUUUAGUAUCACUAUGAACAACAAUCUAUUUAUAAAACAUACUAUUUAAACAUGGAAACAUAUUUUAGAGUUUUAUAUCCUUUCCAGGCAUUGUUCAGAAACUGUUUAUAUUGUACAAAACAAGAACCACUUCUCCAAACUGCUUUGGCUCACUGAAAUCUUCUGUCAUUAAAGGUAAAUUCAGAGCUCAAGUACCACUUUGAAAAAAAGGACUUCAUUUUUUUAAGAAGAAAGAGUGGAGGUCAUUGAGGAGAUCAUACUAAAUAAAGGUCUUUUUUUCCUGCUGUUAUGAAAUAUGAGUAAUGGAAAAAUCUUACAGAUGCCACCAUGUACCUGCAUGGUUUAGCCAUAUGCAUGUGGUGAAAUUAAUCAUGUUGUAAUCAUUUCCUUAAUACUCUCCCUGAUGUUUCAGGUAAUUGUUAUUUUCUUGGAAUUUCAUUCAGAUUUUACAUUUUGCCCCAUGAAACUCUCUGCUCCAUCUACGUCUUGGAAAGGCCGUAGGAAAACCCCAGAGCUACCUGUCUGGUGGCCUUUGCUUUUUUAAAUGGUAAAAAAUUAUUGUGGACCUCAAAUCAAUAACUAAGUAAAAUUGACUUUUGCUGUUUAGCUAAAGCAGUUCUAGAAGGCACACAUCACAAUUUUUACAACUUUUCCUUUUAACUUCUACUUUGGGAUUAUUGCUUACAACAGUCAUUUUCACUACCACAAACAGUAAAAUAAAAUUGAAAGAAAGAAAACAGGCAGUGGUCCAUAAAACAAUGGUCACCCAAGAAGAAGGUAGUGAUAGCAAAGUCUUGAUUAUAGUUCAUACGGAUCAAAUCUAUGAGGCAUUUUCUUCCUGUGAGGAAGUAAGAGAAAUGUUUUAAAGGACAGAAGCUUGGAAGCCCACUGAUCUGGACCCAAAGAUUUAAAAGGGCUGUUUAACCUCCCUUUAAUUCAUCAGAGUGAGGGGCAAAACAGCAGCAUUCAGACAGAUGUUGUAAUUUAUGCUCUGGUUCUGACAUGUGUCGAUCUGACGUGAAGAACCAACCCGUUUUUCAACUGUCACCAAAAUACUCUAUUAGGAGGAGCCAACACACACUCCAUAAUGGAACUGUGGCUAUGGGUUACAUUAGCACGGGAACCAUAUAUGUUGGUAUCAGCUAUGAACUUAGCGCUAAUUUCAGCCACUAUGAAUUCCAUCAGUCUUGGCGCAAAUGAAUACAUACAGCUAACUGUCCUACACAUAAUCAGUUGUGUUUUAUUUCUAAGGGUAAAACUGUAGUAAAAUGAUGUAGAUGCCAAGUCCAGGUCCAGGAAAGGUCCUCCUAUGAAACAUUGCUAUCCCUUCUGAAAGCAAUACGUUUUGCCAUGAUUUGUUUGGUAAAAUAUUCUGAAAGUCAUCCUUUACUGCUAUAUGCGCAAUUUCACAGGAAGAGCUCAGAAAUAAACACUGUUUAAAUGCUAAUAUUCUUUGAAGCCAGUUUUGAGUUUAGCACUACAUGCCAUAUUUUGUUAUCACAGAAAUUUCAAUGGCUCCAUACCCCUGUAACAUUGAAUCACCUUCAGCGCGAUAGGUCAGACCUCUCACUGUAAGUGUGUGGGACUGGUAUCACCUGAUGUACGACACAUGGUGGAUGUGAUUGGAUCUGAGGAGAGCAUAGUUCGAGUCACUUAAUCAAAAUAGGUAUGAAUCAAAAGAAGAUAAGCUAAUGGAGAGUUUGGCUCAAUGAGCAUAAGACCUUUUUUUUUGUAAAUGGUGACAUUCUAAAUGAAAACUUUACAUACUACUGGUUGCUAUAUGGACGACCGCCAUCUGCUGGGUUAUGAUUUAUAGGAUUUUUGCUUGAUGAGUUCAAGGAGAAUUAUUAUAUUUUUACUAAUUUUCUACUGUUCUUUCCCAGCUUACUAUAGUUUACAUGCUUCUUUCCUGCUCUAUGUGCUUUUCAGCAUUUUCAGCAGGAGUUCAGCAGAUCUGAUCUUGAUGUAUUUUCCCUCUUUGGGAUCAAUAAACAUUUUCCUAAUGAAUUAUUUCAAAAUGUAAUUUCUGGAAUGAUGUAACUGGGUGUGGUUGGGAUCUCCUCUAUUUAGUUUAUCAAGCUUGUUUGAGGCUAUAGUGACAAAGAAAGGAGAAAUAACUUCAUUACCCGGAUUUAGCCGUACUUUUAUUCAAAGCCACUAAGAAAUAAGAAGUUUCUUAGGAAGCUGUGAUAAAUUUGGUUCGAAUAGGACAAAAAAUUUAGUAUCUUUAUGUUAUAAACCGGGGAUGGAAUUCAGCGAGUAAAUAAUUUAUUUCAAGAUGUUAAUUUUCACUAUUACAUUUAUGUGCUGGUACUGAAAAAAUAGCUUUUGUAUAAUUUAUCCCUGAGUUAUAAACAUGUCUGCACAUUUGCAUUUAUUUUGUUCUCCUCCGCAUAUGAACUUCUAAAGUUGAUCUGAAGUUUAAAGAUGACCUCAACAACUUUUAAUUAUAAUCCCAAUAACUUAAAAUUGUGCCUGCUUUUAUCAUUUGCAAGUUACAAUAUGAUUAUAUCAUGGUUACAGAUAAGAAUUUAAUGCAAAUUUUAUAAAAUAUAAGCCUAAUUGACCUUUGGAUAAACUAAUAACCAGGAUGGAUGUAGCUAUACAUUUAGAGCUUAAUUGCUUAAUAAAUGGAUAGGCAUAUAACUGAAUUAAAAGAGCAAUGAGUGUUGAAGCUAAUGUCUAUUAACACUGCAAUAUUUUAUCACUGUAGACACCAUGAAAUGAUCAGUGACAAGUACAACUGCUAUUUUUCUUAUUCCACAAUUUUUCUCUUUUAUUUCUGGGAAACUUAUUGCAACUGCAACAUUUGCAAAACUCUGGAAGUGGAUGUUGAUGAGCAGCUGAGUUUGAUUUUUCGGUUUUGGACAACCACAAUCCAGAAAAAUCAGGAUAUUUUUUUUUUCUAAACAGAUGCAGCUGAAGAACAUUUCAAUUUAUUUUUAUCUUAAAUCAUUUUUAGGGGCAGAAAUAGCAUAAGUGGAUGGAGAACAGGUUAUUGAAUGCAGGCAGGGGAACAGGCAAUGCAGCAAACAUAAUCACUUAUGGGAUAAUGGAGGAAUCCAGCAAAGAACAAUAAAAGAUCCAGGAGUUUAAAAACAGGGGAGAGUAAGUGUAGGGAAGAGGCGGGUGGUUGAUUACUAACAGGUUUUAGCUGGAAAAGGAGGUAAACAGGUAGACUGUGGGGAAAGGGCUGAUUACCUCUUUGAACUGAACUGAGGCACAAAGAAACUACAAACCAAGGGGAAAAUAACAUCACUGAUCUAAAAAUCUGAAUCCAGUGAAGAACAAAACACAAGGAAAAAUACUGAAACUGAUUUUCAAAGGCAUUAAUCUAUAUGACAAAACAUUUCAAUAAAUCACAAAUACAGGAAUAGAACAGAAUUUGCAAAACCUAAUGAAUAUAACAAAAAGGAAAAAACAAAAAAAGAGAUGCUCCAAACAAAAACAAAAAUGAAACCAAACAGAAAGAUCAUAACAACCUUCUAGAAUACAGCAAAGAUAAGGCGUGUAAAACCAAAGUCAGUGCUUUUGUGUGUAAAUUAUAAACCCAGAGCUACAAUGAAUAAUAGGUCUGGCUGUAUUUAGAUAAAGUUAUAUUCUUGUGACACAAGUUGUAUAUGUGUUUUGCCCUUUUCAGCCAACAUUAGUUACUUUAAUCAACAUCUCAGAAAUGAACUGUUUCCAAGGCCAAUGUCAAUCAAUGCAGUUAAGCUAAAACUUCCAUUUAAUCUCAGAAUAACUGCUUUAGUAAUUUUUUUUUUGUUGGUGGUGAUAACAUAAACUCACAUAAUCUUCUAUGAUAACCUUUAAAUAUAUGUGCAAUGAACUGAUGCUGUCAUCUUUCCCAACAUGGUGUCCAUUAGUACUUUAUUUUUGAAACAUUGUUAGUCCCCCCAAAUGGUUGUAGAGGUAAGCAUAUCAACGAAGAACAAAAGUUAGAAUAAAAAUAUGUGCUUUUUAUAGGAGCGUCCAGAGUUUUAGAAAACUAAAAACAAUAAAAGCUGUAAGGGACCAGACUUAAACAAGGGCAAAAUGUGUUCAAAAAUUUGAAAAGUUUCCAUGAAAAAAUAAGUCAAAGGACAAAUAAUACAAUUGAGCCCAAUAUAGCUGAGGUCAACUGAACACAAACAAAACAGACUUGCAAACAAAGAACAAAAGGUUGCUUAAAUGGGGGUGUAACCUAAAUCUUUACCACAUGAGGGAGGCACAACACAACAAAGGAACAAAAAAUACAAAAUUAGCUAAAGUAAUAUAUGAAACAAAAAAAGGAAAACCAACCUUAGCUUAGCACAAAUAAUAAGUGACUUUUAUAGUGAUAAAAUAAAUAACUAAAGUCAGCUUUAAACCAAAUCCC